UAAGGAAUAUUGGUCGAUGGACGCAAGUCUGAACCAGCCAUGCCGCGUGAAGGAUGAAGGUCCUCUGGAUUGUAAACUUCUUUUAUCUGGGACGAAAACGGGAUUUUUAUCUCAACUGACGGUACCAGAGGAAUAAGCACCGGCUAACUCCGUGCCAGCAGCCGCGGUAAUACGGAGGGUGCGAGCGUUAUCCGGAUUUACUGGGUUUAAAGGGUGCGUAGGUGGGCUUAUAAGUCAGUGGUGAAAUCUCCGAGCUUAACUUGGAAACUGCCGUUGAUACUAUAGGUCUUGAAUUAUCUGGAGGUAAGCGGAAUAUGUCAUGUAGCGGUGAAAUGCUUAGAUAUGACAUAGAACACCAAUUGCGAAGGCAGCUUACUACAUAUAAAUUGACGCUGAGGCACGAAAGCGUGGGGAUCAAACA
RNAcentral lists this ribosomal RNA (421 nucleotides) under uncultured bacterium. RNAcentral's name for it is "bacterial SSU rRNA". It matches the Rfam family "Bacterial small subunit ribosomal RNA", at positions 355 to 774 of the family's 1533-position model. The record is from RNAcentral.